RNA transcript from Cinclus cinclus, 2126 nucleotides. It is a transcript of the gene named tubulin folding cofactor E, with no coding region annotated. The transcript is spliced from 17 exons. The record is from RefSeq and is a predicted model, not a curated record. NCBI's taxonomy places the organism in Eukaryota, Metazoa, Chordata, Aves, Passeriformes, Cinclidae.
GGCCCCGCGCGUGGGGGGACCGGGGCCGCUCGGGGAGCGGCUCGGUGUGUGGCAGCGGCACGGGGUAGCGCCGCGAGGGAGUCCGGCGUGCAGCCGGGCGGCAAAAGAGCAGCUCAAGGUAUGGGCGUUGUGAGACCAGCGGCUUGCGCGUGUGUUAAGGGCGUUUCUCGUGUCCCUGCAGGUGUGGGAGCAGCCCGGACCCCUGCUGUCCCGGGAUGGCUGCUGGGGUGCCUCCGGAUGCGCUGGGGCGGCGUGUCUCCUGUGGCACCGACUAUGGCACCGUGCGCUAUGUGGGCAGCGUGCCUCCUACUGCAGGAAUUUGGCUGGGCGUGGAAUGGGAUGAUCCUCAGAGGGGAAAGCAUGAUGGCAGCUAUGAAGGAACACAGUAUUUUAAGUGCAGGCAUCCUAAAGGAGGAUCAUUCAUCCGGCCAAACAAAGCAAAUUUUGGAGUAGAUUUUCUUACUGCAGUAAAGGAUCGGUAUGGAUUGAAUGAUAAGCAAGAUGUUCAGUAUGGGACAGGGAAUACAGUAGUAUUUGGAACGAAGACUGUGGAAUUUGUUGGAAUGGAUUCUGUUGCAGAACAGCAAAGACAGCUGAACAAACUGGUGGAUAUUUCAGUGCGUGAGUGUGCAGUGAGCCAUGCUGGUCAGGAAGAGGAAAUCAGCAGAACGUGUGCCAAUAUGAGGCAUAUAAACCUAUCAAAAAAUCUGAUAUCAUCUUGGGAGACAAUAACAGCUAUUGCUUCUCAAGUUCAAAAUCUGGAAACACUUAAUGUCAGUGAAAACAAAAUGAGAUUUCCAUCUGCAUCAGCUUUUACGUCCAGUGCAUUUUCAAACUUGAAGACUUUGGCACUUAAUCAAACUGAAAUAACAUGGACAGAGGUUCUUCUUUGUGCUCAAGGAUGGCCAGUACUUGAAGAGCUGUACCUUUCUUCUAAUUAUAUUACAGUUUUGGAAAGGCCUGAUAAUGUCCUGCAGACCCUGAAGUUGUUAGACCUUUCAGACAACCAGUUACUGGAUGGAAAUCAGCUGCAUCUAAUAGCAGAGCUCCCCAGAUUAGAACAGCUAAUACUUAGAAACACUGGGAUAUCUUCUGUACACUUUCCUGAUGCUGAAUUUGGGUGCAAGACUAAAAUGUUUCCUUUGCUAAAGCGCCUUGCAAUAAAUGACAAUAAAAUAUCGCAGUGGUCAUCUGUCAAUGAGCUUGACAAACUGCCAAGUCUGAGGGCACUGCAAUGUAGCAAUAACCCCUUCAUGGACACAGAGAAGAACCCAGAGACUGUGAUACAGCUCAUUAUUGCCAAGAUAAGUCAGUUGGAAGUUUUGAACAACUGUGAGAUCCUUCCUGCUGAAAGAAGAGGAGCAGAGCUUGAUUAUCGCAAAAUAUUUGGAAAGGACUGGCUAGAAGCUGGUGGGCAUUGGAACCCAGAGAAAAACAAACCAAGUGAAGAAUUUCUUGCUGCCCAUCCCAGAUACCCAACACUUUGUCUUAAAUAUGGAGCACCUGAAGAAGGGGAACUGAAGGGACGACAGCCUUUGACUCUGAAAAAUCAGCUCCUGACUUUGACAAUUAAGUGUCCUGAGAAACCAGAACAGAAACCAGUGGAGAAAAAACUACCAGAGUCUAUGACUAUUCAGAAGGUCAAAGGACUGCUGUAUCGCCUAUUUAAAAUUCCUGGUUCAGAACUGAAACUGUCCUACGAAAGUUCUAAAGUGAGUCAGAAACAGUUGGAAGGAAAAGAAGUUGAACUGGACAAUGACUUAAAGCCUUUGCAGUUUUACUCAAUAGAAAGUGGAGACUGUGUGUUAGUACGGUGGUAAGAAGGGACGCUUGCUGGACCGAAGGAAAAGCUGACACAGGAACUGCAUAAGAGAGACAGACAGUGCCUGAACAGACAUACAGGAAUGAGGGCAGCCCCUUAGCACAGAACCUGCUGCAGCAAGACUUAUCAGCUGCCCUGGUGCUGAGCACAGCUCUCCACAGGAUCCUGGAACAGCCCUAUACUGAGUCAAAUCAGUAGUGCUUUAAUUUACAAAAGACAGGCUAGUUGGCAUUCUUAUGUGCAUUUAUUAAUUACAAGUAGGUCUUUGACUUUAUAUAAAAAGGAUUUUUUUUUAAAUCUUGAA